GCUCCACUGUGGAGCAAGCUAUGGUGGCCAUUGUGCAGUAUCUCUGUCAUCUGUGCAGAUAAUGUGAUAUGGACACAGCUGAAAUUAUGCCAUUUUCUCCAUUCUGAGGGUCUGCUGCUGACAUCCCUCCAGGCCUUGAACCACAGCUGGAGAAUUGAUACAGUGCAGGAUUGUCUCAGCCCUUUCUUCUGCUUAUAUCACCUCCACCACUAGAAGGGCAGAGAUAGCAUAGAGUCUCUACAUAGGCACUGAGCAACUGAAGAAUCUCAUGAGGUGAUCCUUCUGGAGCCAAAAGCCUUAUCUGUAUGGCUACAAUCUGCCAGUAGAGCAAAACUGAUGCACUAUGUUAGAAUAUCUUGCCAAUAAACCUAUUUCAAACCUUGCGACAAA
This is a long non-coding RNA of Mauremys reevesii (Reeves's turtle), 390 nucleotides long. RefSeq lists it as uncharacterized. Lineage: Eukaryota; Metazoa; Chordata; Testudines; Geoemydidae. The record is from RefSeq and is a predicted model, not a curated record. The transcript has 2 exons.